GACGGAGGGGGCUAGCGUUAUUCGGAAUUACUGGGCGUAAAGAGUGCGUAGGCGGUUUAGUAAGUUGGAAGUGAAAGCCCGAGGCUUAACCUCGGAACUGCUUUCAAAACUACUAAUCUAGAGUGUAGUAGGGGAUGAUGGAAUUCCUAGUGUAGAGGUGAAAUUCUUAGAUAUUAGGAGGAACACCGGUGGCGAAGGCGGUCAUCUGGGCUACAACUGACGCUGAUGCACGAAAGCGUGGGGAGCAAACAGG
Molecule: ribosomal RNA, 253 nt
Filed under: uncultured bacterium
Lineage: Bacteria
Description: partial 16S ribosomal RNA
Rfam family: Bacterial small subunit ribosomal RNA
Source: RNAcentral